AAACAGUAAUGAUAAAAAAAAAGAAGAUUAUAUUUAGAAAUUGAAUUUAAGAGGUACGACAAAUAAUCCUUUUAUAGCACUUCAUUAUAACGUUUUAUUAAAUGAGCUAUAACCUUUUAUAGCUCUUCAAUAGUUGAUAUUUUGAUGGGUUGGUGGAGUCAAUAAAACCAAGUUGAAUGCGUUCUUCCGUUUCCAUUUUCUAUUUAAGGAUUUCGACUUCUCUCUUCCUCACUGUCUUUCUCUUUCACAAUUUCUCUUCUCCGCUGUCUUCUUCUUCUCCGGCUACAGAGUUCUUCGACUAGCGUUCCUCUUCUCCCUUCUUCCGCUAGGCCUUCCUCUUUCACUUUCAUUCUCCGGCUAAAGGAACUAUAUCUAAAUAAUAAGUGAAAAUAAAGUGAAAAGUCAUGCCAAAAAUGAAGCUUUGCAAUAUAGUGCUGGUGCAUUUCUUCUUGGAAGAUCUUGGCUGCCAAGGUGGGAUUUACUACUUGGGAUUUGAAGAACUGAAAAACUUGUGUUAUUUGUUGAUGAAUAAUGUGAUUUAACAAUGUCUUUGACUUGCUAUUGGAGCAAUGGUUUGAAGCUCUAUUAUCAUUAUCAUCUGUAUAUGAUAUUGUGGUCCGAUAUUCAUCAUUAUAUAUUCUAUUUCUAUUUUAUAUGAUUUUGGUUUUUAUUC
Molecule: long non-coding RNA, 673 nt
Organism: Cucumis sativus (cucumber)
Lineage: Eukaryota; Viridiplantae; Streptophyta; Magnoliopsida; Cucurbitales; Cucurbitaceae
Exons: 2
Source: RefSeq, a predicted model, not a curated record